Molecule: ribosomal RNA, 465 nt
Filed under: uncultured bacterium
Lineage: Bacteria
Description: partial 16S ribosomal RNA
Rfam family: Bacterial small subunit ribosomal RNA
Source: RNAcentral
CCUACGGGAGGCAGCAGUGGGGAAUAGUGCGCAAUGGGCGAAAGCCUGACGCAGCGACGCCGCGUGAGGGAUGAAGGUCUUCGGAUCGUAAACCUCUGUCAGCAGGGAAGAACGGUCACUGUGCUAAUCAGCAGUGAAUUGACGGUACCUGCAAAGGAAGCACCGGCUAACUCCGUGCCAGCAGCCGGGGUAAUACGGAGGGUGCGAGCGUUAAUCGGAAUUACUGGGCGUAAAGCGCUCGUAGGCGGUAUGUCAAGUCAAGGGGGAAAUCCCCGCGCUCAACGUGGGAACUGCCUUUGAAACUGGCAAACUGGAGUGUGUGAGAGGAUAGUGGAAUUCCAGGUGUAGGAGUGAAAUCCGUAGAUAUCUGGAGGAACAUCAGUGGCGAAGGCGACUAUCUGGCACAUAACUGACGCUGAGGAGCGAAAGCGUGGGUAGCAAACAGGAUUAGAUACCCCAGUAGUC